GUGAAUCAUCAAAUUUUUGAACGCAAAUUGCACUCUCUGGUAUUCCGGAGAGUAUGCCUGUUUGAGGGUCAGUUUAAAUAAAAAUCGGUGUGGUUGUUGUCUUUCGUGGUGACGCUCCGGAUUUGGGUCGUUUUGCUUUCGGUUAAGUGAUCUAAAAUUUUGAAUGAUUUUUUCGAAAGUAAAUAAAUUAAUUUACGUUCGUUUGCGAUAUCGCUUAAU
Molecule: unclassified non-coding RNA, 219 nt
Filed under: Glomeraceae sp.
Lineage: Eukaryota; Fungi; Glomeromycota; Glomeromycetes; Glomerales; Glomeraceae
Description: partial contains 5.8S ribosomal RNA and internal transcribed spacer 2
Rfam family: 5.8S ribosomal RNA (bases 1-71)
Source: RNAcentral